This 253-nucleotide ribosomal RNA is filed under the name uncultured bacterium. RNAcentral's name for it is "partial 16S ribosomal RNA". It matches the Rfam family "Bacterial small subunit ribosomal RNA", at positions 524 to 776 of the family's 1533-position model. The record is from RNAcentral.
UACGUAGGGUGCAAGCGUUGUCCGGAAUUAUUGGGCGUAAAGAGCUCGUAGGCGGUCUGUCGCGUCGGCUGUGAAAGCCCGGAGCUCAACUCCGGGCCUGCAGUCGAUACGGGCAAACUGGAGUGUUGCAGGGGAGACUGGAAUUCCUGGUGUAGCGGUGAAAUGCGCAGAUAUCAGGAGGAACACCGGUGGCGAAGGCGGGUCUCUGGGCAACAACUGACGCUGAGGAGCGAAAGCGUGGGGAGCGAACAGG